GGAGAUCAUGGCUCCUCGUCCGAGAAGAAACAGAAAAGCCAGGUGGUGGCGGCUGCUCUGUUGCUUCUCCAGCACCACAAAGGAAGAAGAGGCUCCUGAGGCCCCUCCUGCCAGUCCACCAGAGACAGAGAACGUGACCUAUGAGGUAGAAGGAAGCUCCAGCCCUCGGGUAAGAAAUGAAGGGAUACCCUCUGGAAGAAAGGGGGGGUGGGGGUGGGCAGUAAGGGUAGCCACAAUAUCUAGCUGAUCGCUGAUGCCAGAGGGCACCAUGGAGUACACUUUGCUCCCCCACCCCUCCGGUAACUUUAAAUAUAACCCUGAGCUGGGAUAAGGACAGGCUUGGUUAUAACAUGAAUUAAUUAACACCCACAUGAUUUUAAUUCCUAGGAUUUACUCGACAGCGAAGGAACUCUUCAUAAUAUCAGCAGCAUCUGCGAUGAAGACUCAACCCGUA
Molecule: long non-coding RNA, 454 nt
Filed under: Pogona vitticeps (central bearded dragon)
Lineage: Eukaryota; Metazoa; Chordata; Lepidosauria; Squamata; Agamidae
Description: lncRNA (ENSPVIG00000011444.1)
Source: RNAcentral